RNAcentral lists this unclassified non-coding RNA (4031 nucleotides) under Rhipicephalus microplus (southern cattle tick). RNAcentral describes it as "uncharacterized LOC119170368, transcript variant X3". The record is from RNAcentral. Lineage: Eukaryota; Metazoa; Arthropoda; Arachnida; Ixodida; Ixodidae.
UCAGUUAUGGUUCUCGCUUUCUUGCGUAGAGGAUAGUUAAAGCUAGGGAUAAUUUGAAUUGCUAGUCUGAAGCGUUUGCGAGGAGGAAUUAUAGCAUAGGUGUUCCGAGCUAAAGGGCUUUGCUUGGCUUCUUUGCAAGGAAGAUGGUGAAGAAGAAGGACAGGACUGCCCGCAGGCAGAUAUUGCAGUUAAAGGAGGAGAGAAGCCGAACAUAUUCCCCGCCGGCCAAGAAUUCGUCGAUUGGUACUGCGGAGCCAUCAAGUCAAGGAGAUGACGAAGGAGACGGACAUGACGAAGCUAGCCAAAAUGAGCCAGCCUCGAAUAACGGCGUUCGGAGAGAUGCCAUAGACGAUCAGCUUGAAGACUUCAUGAAGGAAAUUGAUGCUAUCUCAUCGUCUGUUCCUGAGACUGAUGCGCAAGGUGAGGAGGAUAAAAAGGAAUCUGUUGACCAGCAGGCUGUGACGGCAUCAUUGGGCGCUCCGCUAACUUCAGGGACACCUGAAGUAGAAGUUGCCACCCAGGAGCCAAAGUCAGAAGGAAGCACUGCGGAAACACCUUCGGCUACUAAGGGCGAAAUUCCACCUUGUCCCUGGGUGGAGUGCAUGGAUGUGGCGACUGGGUACACCUACUUCUGGCACCAGUUGACCAACGAGACAACGUGGGACUGUCCACCUGAGUUCGAAGCUUACUGGGCACAGUAUGGUGAACCUGCUGAUGCUGAGGGUGGCGCGCCCGGAGCUGGUGCUGAUGCUGCUUCUGCAACAAUUCUUCGCACGAGUGGCGACACACAGAUGCUUCCCGAAACCAGUGCGUCAGCAUCUCCUACUGGUGCGGCUGCACCAAACAGCAGCGACUCAACGAAUGUUCAAGCUGCGGAUUCCUGCAGCGCGGAAGGUGGAGCGCAGAAACUUGCUGAUUCGUCUUCAGCCACUGCAUCGAUAGCUAGUGCGGCCCAAAGCAGUGCGAAUAUGGAAGCACCCGAAGUAAAUAAGAGGGUGACGACGUCUGGCAAGAAGAAGCGGAAGCAAGAAGCGGUCAUUGGAGCAAUCAUUCCAAUAACCUCGUACGGCGGCUCUGACAGCAGCUCGUCCGAGGGGAGUGACUACGAGACUUAUUCAGUCUGUAGGACACGGCUGAAGAGGCAUCCUUCCAAGCGCGUGAAGGUAGCAGCUAAGAAGACUCGUGCGAAAUCACCACCACCUGUUACCUAUGGACCACAGCUGCCAGACUCGGUACUUGCUCAAAGUGAAGUGCCCGUGUAUGGACCGCAGCUUCCUGAUUCUUCUGAAUCCAUGGAAGUAACAGUCUAUGGUCCACACCUGCCAGAAGUGAAGACAGUUGAAUAUGGCCCUCACUUGCCUGAGGAGGAUAGAGUCGUGUAUGGACCACACUUGCCGGAGCCAGAGAAAAAAAUUGCAUACGGGCCACACUUGCCAGAUACCAGCAACCUAGAAUCUCAUCAGCCCCCGGUCUUAAUUGGUCCACAGCUGCCGGAGUUACACGAGCUCAUGACCGAAAAGUCCAGUGCAUUUAUUGGCCCAGUUCUUCCGGAUGAAUUUAUUGACAAACAAGCAGAGCAUUGUGAAGAAGAUAAUCCCAAAGUUCAAGAACAGUCUCCUAAAUCGGAGGACCCAUCCUCUGAAGGCACAGGAUCCCCCAAAUCUGUCGCUUGUAAAGAAGAUAAUCCCAAAGUUGAAGAACAGUCUCCUAGGUCGGAGGACCCAUCCUCUGGAGAUACGGGAUCGCCCAAAUCUGUUGCUGUAUCUGAAGCAUCCUGUGCUAAAGGUUUGCAAGCCAGUGAAAGUGUGCAGGAAAGCAAUCACUCUUCUGCAGUUACUGGAGAACGUGCUAGUGCUUCUGUUGAAACUGCAGUUGCGGUUCCAGCAUUGUCUGGCCUGGUGGAUUACCCUGGCUCUCCUGUUGUUGACAGCGAAACAGAUGAUGAGGGGAGUGAUGGGGACGAUAAAGUAGAGUCUGUGCCAGUGCAGGACACUGAGAAGGAGCCUGCGGCUGUGAACUAUCCUGUCAUGACUGAUGGAAAGCUCCAGUUUGAGACUGUUGAGAAUAAUGUGCAUGAGAAAGUUUCCCAAGAUGCCAGUCAAGGCUCUUCUAAUGUUCGUGCCAGCUCCCUGUCUGCAACAAAGCAGUUGAAGUCAAAAGAAAAUUCUGAGGCAAAGAACGGAUCGCAGCACCUGGUUUGUUAUGGUGACUCGGAGGGCAGUGACGAUGACAGCAUGGACGUGGACAUAACUGCUGCGGAGCCCUGUCUUUCUUCAACAAUGCGAUCACCCGCCUCUUCAGUAGCUGGCGAGGAUGACAGGGAAGAUAGACACAGGGGCUUCGGGUGCUCAAACAGCGAUGCUCUGGACGCUGAAGCUACUGAUGUCAAGAAGGCUCCUUCAGCAAGGCCAUUCGUGGGAGUCAGCUUUGUUCGAUCGUCAGAGUUGCUUGUGUUGAGUGAGUGUGUAAAUCAGGGUGAGGGAGACGCUGAAGAGAAGACUGCUAAAGAGAAGACUGAAGAGGCUGCGGAAGAACAGUCAUCCAGUUCCGAGGGCACGGCUGCCACCGAAAGGUUGGCUUCCCCGCAAGAACAGGUGGCACCGGAAGAUUCUGAUGUAGAUGAUUUUGAUGAUGUAGUCCGGGCCCUCGACAUUGCUUUGUUAGAGUCGCAAAAGAAGAAGGCGCAGGAAAUUGGUACAAAGCACCAAGACUUACCUAGUGCUGACAAAGAAUCGCCCGGUGAUACAAGCGAGGAGGAGGGAGAAAUCAAGUCUUCCGAUUCGUCCAGUGAGGAAGGAAUGACACCAAUGCCGCAGGGGAGCUCAGACUCUGAGGAUGAAUCGGAGACGGAAGGGGAUGCCAGACUAAAAAAAGGCAAUGAAUUCACUGAACGAAAAACAUCUCCCAAGCCUGAGAGUAAGGAUAGGCUUAAGCUUGAUAUUGAAGAAGCUUACAAGCAGCUGACAGACCUGUUGAAUCCUCUGCGGGACGUGAUCGCCUGUAGGAACAGCUACUUCGAACUUGUUGUGAAGACUAUGACACGUAUGGAGGAUUGGCGUGCUGGAGCUCUGGACCCUGGCUACUUUCUUCAGAGGUUACACGAAGCGCGUGCCACGGCUGACGAGCUUCAGCAACUGGUCCUGGCUCCUGAGCCAACAGAGAGCGACAAAUCUUGCCAAGAACCCUUGCCGCCCGGCUGGCAGAGGCACUGGGACAGGAGCCUUUACGAAGUCUGGUCUUGGCUUGGGGCGGGAAGGAUGGCUUGGUGGGAGGCGGUCGCCGCUGUGUUUCGUUUCUUUUUCUUCUUUUCCUCUCAAGCCCAAGAAGCCCUUUCUUUCCUCGUUUUUCUCGUGGAGGACCCACGUCCCUCAUGGCACCCCAGCCCCCACCCACCCCGUCGGUCCUUUCCUUGCCAUGCCCUACCUCUUUUUAUCUGACGUAUCGAUCGUCGUUGCGCCAUAUUGCAACCAGUGGACAAGUUGCUGGACUUUAUGGGGCCGCUUCUGGAGCUGCCACGGCCAAAUCGGGAUGAUGUAGGCUGACAUGCCUUGGCUGAUCCGAUGGUGCUCUUGUGUCACCUGUCCAGCCUGCAAGAGACCCUCUACAAGACAGGAGCAACAUCAAGCCUGUAGACAGCACUCAGUCCUUUGGAGCUGAGUGGCUAUGGUUUGCCAGCGGAUUGCUUUGAAAAGCACGCCCAUUAAGUUGUGACUGCCGUGUGCACCGGUUGUGGGAGUAACAUUGGUAUCACAGAUGAAGAUCGCUUUGAGAAUUCCGUGCGGCACAGGGGUGUGUGUCAUCAGGCGGUGGAUGCUACGCCAUUGUUUCCUGCUGCCACAUAACUUAGAAAUGACACCAUACCACUGCAUCGUAGGACUGGGUCAUGUCCAGCAUACACCUUCCAUCUCUUUCUAGAAGUGCUUGGAUGUCAUCGUUGUAUGCUUUAGUGGGCACGCAAGAUAUUUUUAUGUGCACGAGGAAACCGGCCAUUCCCAGUGGCAGUUCCCCGAUGUGCCUGAUUCCACCUCUCC